This is a non-coding RNA of Dipodomys ordii (Ord's kangaroo rat), 70 nucleotides long. The record is from Rfam. Lineage: Eukaryota; Metazoa; Chordata; Mammalia; Rodentia; Heteromyidae.
GGGAAGGUAACUCAGUGGUAGAGUGCUUGCCUUGCAUGCAUGAGGCCCUGGGUUCGAUUCCUCAGCACCA